Molecule: unclassified non-coding RNA, 205 nt
Filed under: Hevea brasiliensis (rubber tree)
Lineage: Eukaryota; Viridiplantae; Streptophyta; Magnoliopsida; Malpighiales; Euphorbiaceae
Source: RNAcentral
CAGAGGCACCGACUUAUAAUGCUGUUGUGGCGGCUUACUGCUGGUCAAUGAAGAUGGCUGAUGCAUAUAGGAUGGUAAAUGAGAUGAGGAAAUUUGGCAUCGGUCCGAAUUCGAGGACUUACGACAUCAUAUUACAUCACUUGAUAAAGGGUAGGAGAUCAAAGCAAGCUUAUUCUGUUUUCCAAAGAAUGAGUAGCGAGCCGGG